CAAUCACUCCUCGGAAAAAGGCAUGCAAACAUUUGGCUGUCAGCGUACUGGCCGUGGUGUUCCGUCACGAUAGUCUAUUUUAUCUUGACGUAGCUUCCUGCGUUUUUAAAAAAUGUUGAUAAACAGUAACUAAAGGUGCCGAGUGUGAAACGAAAUUAGAAUUCGUGUAAUAAUUUUGCCACGAUUUGCCUCUUUUGCUACUUUUCAAGCGAUCCAGUUGCAUGUCUAUUUUACUUCUAGAAUGACUUUGUGAGCUAUUAUUUCAUUUCUAGCACAAAUAGUUUGAGAAUGAGCUAUAGUUUGGUAAAUGGCGGUAAAAAUCGUCGCCAUACAACUGAGGAAUCAAGUGCAGGAAAACCAUACUCAAAUUGGAAAUACUUUUAUUUGGCUGCUACAAUUUUUGCAGUGUUUGGGGUAAUUCUGCUACACAUAAGGAAUCUCGAUAAAAAUGUUGAGA
Molecule: long non-coding RNA, 457 nt
Organism: Cloeon dipterum
Lineage: Eukaryota; Metazoa; Arthropoda; Insecta; Ephemeroptera; Baetidae
Exons: 2
Source: RefSeq, a predicted model, not a curated record